GACGAACUCUGGCGGCGUGCUUAACACAUGCAAGUCGAACGGAAAGGCCCUGCUUUUGUGGGGUGCUCGAGUGGCGAACGGGUGAGUAACACGUGAGUAACCUGCCCUUGACUUUGGGAUAACUUCAGGAAACUGGGGCUAAUACCGGAUAGAAGCUCCUGCUGCAUGGUGGGGGUUGGAAAGUUUCGGCGGUUGGGGAUGGACUCGCGGCUUAUCAGCUUGUUGGUGGGGUAGUGGCUUACCAAGGCUUUGACGGGUAGCCGGCCUGAGAGGGUGACCGGCCACAUUGGGACUGAGAUACGGCCCAGACUCCUACGGGAGGCAGCAGUGGGGAAUAUUGCACAAUGGGCGGAAGCCUGAUGCAGCAACGCCGCGUGCGGGAUGACGGCCUUCGGGUUGUAAACCGCUUUCGCCUGUGACGAAGCGUGAGUGACGGUAAUGGGUAAAGAAGCACCGGCUAACUACGUGCCAGCAGCCGCGGUGAUACGUAGGGUGCGAGCGUUGUCCGGAUUUAUUGGGCGUAAAGGGCUCGUAGGUGGUUGAUCGCGUCGGAAGUGUAGUCUUGGGGCUUAACCCUGAGCGUGCUUUCGAUACGGGUUGACUUGAGGAAGGUAGGGGAGAAUGGAAUUCCUGGUGGAGCGGUGGAAUGCGCAGAUAUCAGGAGGAACACCAGUGGCGAAGGCGGUUCUCUGGGCCUUUCCUGACGCUGAGGAGCGAAAGCGUGGGGAGCGAACAGGCUUAGAUACCCUGGUAGUCCACGCUGUAAACGGUGGGUACUAGGUGUGGGGUCCAUUCCACGGGUUCCGUGCCGUAGCUAACGCUUUAAGUACCCCGCCUGGGGAGUACGGCCGCAAGGCUAAAACUCAAAGGAAUUGACGGGGCCCCGCACAAGCGGCGGAGCAUGCGGAUUAAUUCGAUGCAACGCGUAGAACCUUACCUGGGUUUGACAUGGAUCGGGAGUGCUCAGAGAUGGGUGUGCCUCUUUUGGGGUCGGUUCACAGGUGGUGCAUGCCUGUCGUCAGCUCGUGUCGUGAGAUGUUGGGUUAAGUCCCGCAACGAGCGCAACCCUUGUUCACUGUUGCCAGCACGUUAUGGUGGGGACUCAGUGGAGACCGCCGGGGUCAACUCGGAGGAAGGUGGGGAUGACGUCAAGUCAUCAUGCCCCUUAUGUCCAGGGCUUCACGCAUGCUACAAUGGCUGGUACAGAGAGUGGCGAGCCUGUGAGGGUGAGCGAAUCUCGGAAAGCCGGUCUCAGUUCGGAUUGGGGUCUGCAACUCGACCUCAUGAAGUCGGAGUCGCUAGUAAUCGCAAAUCAGCAACGCUGCGGUGAAUACGUUCCCGGGGCU
RNAcentral lists this ribosomal RNA (1346 nucleotides) under uncultured bacterium. RNAcentral's name for it is "partial 16S ribosomal RNA". It matches the Rfam family "Bacterial small subunit ribosomal RNA", at positions 28 to 1381 of the family's 1533-position model. The record is from RNAcentral.